This 207-nucleotide ribosomal RNA is filed under the name uncultured bacterium. RNAcentral describes it as "partial 16S ribosomal RNA". It matches the Rfam family "Bacterial small subunit ribosomal RNA", at positions 568 to 774 of the family's 1533-position model. The record is from RNAcentral.
AGCGUAGACGGCGAAGCAAGUCUGAAGUGAAAGCCCGGGGCUCAACCGCGGGACUGCUUUGGAAACUGUUUUGCUAGAGUGCUGGAGAGGUAAGUGGAAUUCCUAGUGUAGCGAUGGAAUGCGUAGAUAUUAGGAGGAACACCAGUGGCGAAGGCGGCUUACUGGACAGUAACUGACGUUGAGGCUCGAAAGCGUGGGGAGCAAACA